RNAcentral lists this ribosomal RNA (441 nucleotides) under uncultured bacterium. RNAcentral describes it as "bacterial SSU rRNA". It matches the Rfam family "Bacterial small subunit ribosomal RNA", at positions 958 to 1398 of the family's 1533-position model. The record is from RNAcentral.
AACGCGAAGAACCUUACCCAGGCUUGACAUGCAGACGACGUUACUAGAGAUAGUAACUUCCUUCGGGACGUCUGCACAGGUGCUGCAUGGCUGUCGUCAGCUCGUGCCGUGAGGUGUUGGGUUAAGUCCCGCAACGAGCGCAACCCUUAUCAUUAGUUGCCAACACGUAAAGGUGGGAACUCUAAUGAGACUGCCCGGGUUAACCGGGAGGAAGGUGAGGAUGACGUCAAGUCCGCAUGGCCCUUAUGUCUGGGGCUACACACGUGCUACAAUGGUCGGUACAGAAGGCAGCAAAGCCGCGAGGUGGAGCAAAUCCCCAAAGCCGAUCCCAGUUCAGAUUGUAGUCUGCAACUCGACUACAUGAAGACGGAAUUGCUAGUAAUGGCGAGUCAGCAACAUCGCCGUGAAUACGUUCCCGGGCCUUGUACACACCGAGACGUA